UCCGAGGUAGCCAAGCUGGCAAGGCGCCUGACUGUUAAUCAGGAAAUGCGCAGGUUCGAGUCCUGCCCUCGGAGCCA
This 77-nucleotide transfer RNA is filed under the name Acetobacteraceae bacterium. Its description in RNAcentral is "tRNA-Asn". It matches the Rfam family "tRNA". From Rfam's summary of the family: Transfer RNA (tRNA) molecules are approximately 80 nucleotides in length. Their secondary structure includes four short double-helical elements and three loops (D, anti-codon, and T loops). Further hydrogen bonds mediate the characteristic L-shaped molecular structure. tRNAs have two regions of fundamental functional importance: the anti-codon, which is responsible for specific mRNA codon recognition, and the 3' end, to which the tRNAs corresponding amino acid is attached (by aminoacyl-tRNA synthetases). tRNAs cope with the degeneracy of the genetic code in two manners: having more than one tRNA (with a specific anti-codon) for a particular amino acid; and 'wobble' base-pairing, i.e. permitting non-standard base-pairing at the 3rd anti-codon position. Lineage: Bacteria; Pseudomonadati; Pseudomonadota; Alphaproteobacteria; Acetobacterales; Acetobacteraceae. The record is from RNAcentral.